UAAAAUCCACAGCGGGCUACGAGUGAGUUUGAUAAUUUAAAUUUUGUACCAAACCCACUCAAGUGGUGCCCAUUUAGAAAUGACCAACGGGUCGUGCUACGCCGGCCUAGCCCAUCAAGGCAAGGAUCAUGCAUGCGCGUGCUCGUGCUCGUGUUAUACUGUGCCUACUAUGUGUUUCGUGUCGUGCCGUGCUUACUUAAUUUUGUUUGCUUAGGCCCGGCCUGACACAAGUGUCGUGCCUAAGAAGAAAAACGCAAUAAGUUUUUUCUUUUUUUAAAAUUUUUUAAGAGCGCAUGUCAAGUUGUUAGUGUAUUUUUUCAAGUUUAUAUACUUUUUUUAAGUCUAUCCCUUUAUUCCAAAUUAAUAAAAUUC
RNAcentral lists this long non-coding RNA (372 nucleotides) under Citrus x clementina. RNAcentral's name for it is "Citrus clementina (C. clementina) long non-coding RNA (CCLE_LNC005606)". The record is from RNAcentral. Lineage: Eukaryota; Viridiplantae; Streptophyta; Magnoliopsida; Sapindales; Rutaceae.